This 33-nucleotide ribosomal RNA is filed under the name Nephromopsis nivalis. Its description in RNAcentral is "Flavocetraria nivalis partial 18S ribosomal RNA". The record is from RNAcentral. Lineage: Eukaryota; Fungi; Ascomycota; Lecanoromycetes; Lecanorales; Parmeliaceae.
CGUAGGUGACCUGCGGAAGGAUCAUUACUGAGA